AUUGAACGCUGGCGGCAGGCCUAACACAUGCAAGUCGAGCGGAUGAAGGGAGCCUGCUCCUGGAUUCAGCGGCGGACGGGUGAGUAAUGCCUAGGAAUCUGCCUGGUAGUGGGGGAUAACGUCCGGAAACGGGCGCUAAUACCGCAUACGUCCUGAGGGAGAAAGUGGGGGAUCUUCGGACCUCACGCUAUCAGAUGAGCCUAGGUCGGAUUAGCUAGUUGGUGGGGUAAAGGCCUACCGAGGCGACGAUCCGUAACUGGUCUGAGAGGAUGAUCAGUCACACUGGAACUGAGACACGGUCCAGACUCCUACGGGAGGCAGCAGUGGGGAAUAUUGGACAAUGGGCGAAAGCCUGAUCCAGCCAUGCCGCGUGUGUGAAGAAGGUCUUCGGAUUGUAAAGCACUUUAAGUUGGGAGGAAGGGCAGUAAGUUAAUACCUUGCUGUUUUGACGUUACCAACAGAAUAAGCACCGGCUAACUUCGUG
Molecule: ribosomal RNA, 484 nt
Filed under: uncultured bacterium
Lineage: Bacteria
Description: partial 16S ribosomal RNA
Rfam family: Bacterial small subunit ribosomal RNA
Source: RNAcentral